UACGGGGGGGGCAAGCGUUGUUCGGAAUUACUGGGCGUAAAGGGCUCGUAGGUGGCCAACUAAGUCGGACGUGAAAUCCCUCAGCUUAACUGGGGAACUGCGUCCGAUACUGGAUGGCUCGAGUUUGGGAGAGGGAUGCGGAAUUCCAGGUGUAGCGGUGAAAUGCGUAGAUAUCUGGAGGAACACCGGUGGCGAAGGCGGCAUCCUGGACCAACACUGACGCUGAGGAGCGAAAGCGUGGGGAGCGAACAGG
Molecule: ribosomal RNA, 253 nt
Filed under: uncultured bacterium
Lineage: Bacteria
Description: partial 16S ribosomal RNA
Rfam family: Bacterial small subunit ribosomal RNA
Source: RNAcentral